UACAAGGUUUCGUAGGUGAACUGCGGAAGGAUCUUG
Molecule: ribosomal RNA, 36 nt
Filed under: Cassinia decipiens
Lineage: Eukaryota; Viridiplantae; Streptophyta; Magnoliopsida; Asterales; Asteraceae
Description: partial 18S ribosomal RNA
Source: RNAcentral